Molecule: ribosomal RNA, 253 nt
Filed under: uncultured bacterium
Lineage: Bacteria
Description: partial 16S ribosomal RNA
Rfam family: Bacterial small subunit ribosomal RNA
Source: RNAcentral
UACGUAGGGUGCGAGCGUUAAUCGGAAUUACUGGGCGUAAAGGGUGCGCAGGUGGCCGCGCAAGUCGAGUGUGAAAUCCCCGAGCUUAACUUGGGAAUUGCGCUCGAAACUACGUGGCUCGAGUGUGGCAGAGGAAGGUGGAAUUCCACGUGUAGCGGUGAAAUGCGUAGAGAUGUGGAGGAACACCGAUGGCGAAGGCAGCCUUCUGGGCCAACACUGACGCUCAUGCACGAAAGCGUGGGGAGCAAACAGG